RNAcentral lists this transfer RNA (77 nucleotides) under Halomonas denitrificans. RNAcentral describes it as "tRNA-Val". It matches the Rfam family "tRNA". From Rfam's summary of the family: Transfer RNA (tRNA) molecules are approximately 80 nucleotides in length. Their secondary structure includes four short double-helical elements and three loops (D, anti-codon, and T loops). Further hydrogen bonds mediate the characteristic L-shaped molecular structure. tRNAs have two regions of fundamental functional importance: the anti-codon, which is responsible for specific mRNA codon recognition, and the 3' end, to which the tRNAs corresponding amino acid is attached (by aminoacyl-tRNA synthetases). tRNAs cope with the degeneracy of the genetic code in two manners: having more than one tRNA (with a specific anti-codon) for a particular amino acid; and 'wobble' base-pairing, i.e. permitting non-standard base-pairing at the 3rd anti-codon position. RNAcentral also lists the same sequence under 13 other names. Lineage: Bacteria; Pseudomonadati; Pseudomonadota; Gammaproteobacteria; Oceanospirillales; Halomonadaceae. The record is from RNAcentral.
GGGCGAUUAGCUCAGUUGGUUAGAGCGCUGUCUUGACAUGGCAGAGGUCGCUGGUUCAAAUCCAGCAUCGCCCACCA